Molecule: long non-coding RNA, 773 nt
Filed under: Nicotiana tabacum (common tobacco)
Lineage: Eukaryota; Viridiplantae; Streptophyta; Magnoliopsida; Solanales; Solanaceae
Description: long non-coding RNA (NTAB_LNC010610)
Source: RNAcentral
ACCUCGCUGUGCAAAAUGCACGGUAAGUGAAUUCUGCCCGUCGGCAUUUAAGGAGAUAUCAAGCCCAGCUUCCACUUCCAGAACACUAAGCCCCAAGAAGAAACAUUGACAAGGUUGUUUGCUGCUACGUGAUCAUAUUUUUCAAGUUCUGUUCUUCUAAUGUAAAAAGAAAUUUGUAUUAAUUGUAAAAAAAUUGAGUGUAAUUUCUUGUACUUUUUUUUUUUUAAUUUUGUAUUAAUGUUGGCCUAGGAUGAAUUGAAAUGGAAAACAUGGUGAUUGAGGAUUGAUAUAUCAUAACAAACAAAAAACUUCAAUAUCAAAAACUCAUGCUGUAUUCCACUCCCAAACACACACACAAAGAAAAAACAGAUUUUUAUCAAAUAUCAAAACCCCAUUUUUAUUCACACAGCAGUGUCUGUUUUAAAAAAAAAACAUUCCCCCAAUUUCAUCCAUCAAAACCCUAACUCAAAAAUUUCCAAAAUUGAUAUUAAAGACUAAGAAAUUUACCUGAAAGUUCAAGAGAUUUGACAGAGAAACUGGGAAAAUUUAGCGCAAAUCUCAGGUACAAACAUAACUCACAGGCCAACAAAUGUCAACCAAAAAGCAUGGAUUAAAAGCUAGAAACUAAGGAGCAAAGUUGAUACAGAGCAAUAAUCGAGCAAAAUAACUUUGAAUUAAACUCAAAUCUGAACUUCAGAAAGGAAUUUUUACCUGAUUUCGAAUUGGUCUUGUUAUGGAUCGUUUCUCUGAUGCCUUUUCUUGUGUGCGCUUUG